AGUGAACGCUGGCGGUAGGCCUAACACAUGCAAGUCGAACGGCAGCACAGUAAGAGCUUGCUCUUACGGGUGGCGAGUGGCGGACGGGUGAGGAAUACAUCGGAAUCUACUUUUUCGUGGGGGAUAACGUAGGGAAACUUACGCUAAUACCGCAUACGACCUACGGUUGAAAGCAGGGGAUCUUCGGACCUUGCGCGAUUGAAUGAGCCGAUGUCGGAUUAGCUAGUUGGCGGGGUAAAGGCCCACCAAGGCGACGAUCCGUAGCUGGUCUGAGAGAAUGAUCAGCCACACUGGAACGGAGACACGGUCAAGACGCCUACGGGAGGCAGCAGUGGGGAAUAUUGGACAAUGGGCGCAAGCCUGAUCCAGCCAUACCGCGUGGGUGAAGAAGGCCUUCGGGUUGUAAAGCCCUUUUGUUGGGAAAGAAAAGCAGCAGGUUAAUACCCCGCUGUUCUGACGGUACCCAAAGAAUAAGCACCGGCUAACUUCGUG
This 492-nucleotide ribosomal RNA is filed under the name uncultured bacterium. RNAcentral describes it as "partial 16S ribosomal RNA". It matches the Rfam family "Bacterial small subunit ribosomal RNA", at positions 29 to 507 of the family's 1533-position model. The record is from RNAcentral.